Molecule: ribosomal RNA, 428 nt
Filed under: uncultured prokaryote
Description: bacterial SSU rRNA
Rfam family: Bacterial small subunit ribosomal RNA
Source: RNAcentral
UGAGGAAUCUUGCGCAAUGGGGGAAACCCUGACGCAGCAACGCCGCGUGAGUGAGGAAGGUUUUCGAAUCGUAAAGCUCUGUCAGGUGGAAAGAAAUGUAUGGACGUUAAUAGCUGCCAUACUUGACGGUACCACCAGAGGAAGCACCGGCUAACUCCGUGCCAGCAGCCGCGGUAAUACGGGGGGUGCAAGCGUUGUUCGGAAUCAUUGGGCGUAAAGAGCGUGUAGGCGGCUUGAUAAGUCAGAUGUGAAAGCCCUGGGCUUAACCCAGGAAGUGCAUUUGAUACUGUCUAGCUAGAGUAAGGGAGAGGAGAGCGGAAUUCCUGGUGUAGAGGUGAAAUUCGUAGAUAUCAGGAGGAACACCGGUGGCGAAGGCGGCUUUCUGGCCCUAUACUGACGCUGAGACGCGAGAGCGUGGGUAGCAAACA